AUGGAUGUUGUGUCUGCCAUUAUUUCCCUUAGGCUGCUGUUGGAUUUAGAAACAUUCCUGAUAACUGUGCUCAGUAAUCAUUUGCGAUGCCUGAUCAGUUGUAUUGAUUUUUCUCCUUGCGUACAGAUUUCCCAUCAGCAGCGCAUUUGUGAAUCCUGGUUUAAUGUGCUCUUCCUGCUUAUCACUGAUCUCAGAAGCAUCGUGAUCUACAUCCCAAAGAACUCAUGAAGUCCAUGAGAGACACCAUCGGAAUGCCAAUGUCAGGGGAAUAAUGUAACCAUCACCAGGAGCAUGGGGAAUAGACUCCCAUUCUCAUGAAUAUAGGAGUUGUGAUUGUUAAUUUUGUGUGUCAAUUUGACUAGGCCAGGGAGUGCCCAGAUUAAACAUUACUUCUGGAUGUGUCUGAGGAUGUUUCUGGGUGAGAAUAGCAUUUAAAUUUUUGUGAACUGAGUAAAGUAGAUCACCCUUCUCAGUGUGGGUCAGCAUCCAUCCAAUCUGUUGAAGGCCUGAAUGAAACAAAACAUGGAGGAAGGGAGGGGUUCUCCCCUUAUUCUUCCUGUCAGGUUGCUUGAGCUGGGAUAUUGAUCUUGUCAAUGCUCCUGGUUCUCAGGCCUUUAGAUCUUGACUGUCAUCUCCAUCAUCAGCUCCCCUGAUUCUCAGGCUUUUGACUUUGGGUCAAAUUAGACCCACCGGCUCUCUUGGGUGUCUAGCUUGGAGACAGCAGAUCAUGGGAUGACUCCAUAACUACAUGAACAAAUUCCUUAUAAGUCUCUUUUCAUAUAUAUGCAUGCAUAUGUACACAUAUAUUCAUAGAUAUAUAUGCAUGAAUCUCCUGUUCUGUUUCUGUAGAGAAUCCUGACUAAUGCAGUAGUCUACGAUGAGGGAGAAAGGAAUUACAACAGAGAAUGUGGGAAAAAGCAACAAAUAAAUGACAUAGAAAGGUGCCUGGUAUGGAUCAAUGAUAAUAUACUGUGAACUGAGUUAAGAUUAAUUAAGACCUUAGUACAUGAGAUCAAAGAGGGAAAAAAUCAGCACUCUGUCUCAUUGAAUCCAAUUAAAACUAAUUUUAAAAUGGUUUCAUUUGCAAAAUUGACCAAGACUCUCAAGCACAUAGGAAUAAACACACAUACAUAUAUUAAUAUAAU
RNAcentral lists this long non-coding RNA (1145 nucleotides) under Ursus thibetanus thibetanus. RNAcentral describes it as "lncRNA (ENSUTTG00000010568.1)". Lineage: Eukaryota; Metazoa; Chordata; Mammalia; Carnivora; Ursidae. The record is from RNAcentral.